UUGUUGUUGUGUUCGUCGUCACCGUUAUCGUCAUCGUCGUCAUCAUUGUUGUUGUCGUCGACAUUGUUGUCUUCGUUGUUGUUGUUGUUGUUGUUGUCGUUGUUCUCGUUGUUGUCGUCGUUGUCGUCUUUGUUGUCGUCUUUGUGGUUGUUUUUGCUGUUGUUAUUGUUGUUGUUGUUGUUGUUGUUGUUGUUGUUGUUGUUCUUGUUGUUGUUGUUGUUGUUUCCUGCGAUUUUGUUGUUCUUGU
RNAcentral lists this long non-coding RNA (247 nucleotides) under Hordeum vulgare. RNAcentral describes it as "long non-coding RNA (HVUL_LNC020973)". Lineage: Eukaryota; Viridiplantae; Streptophyta; Magnoliopsida; Poales; Poaceae. The record is from RNAcentral.